CUCAACUAAGCGAAAUUUGCAUAUUUUAUUUUUAUGCAGAUAUCUUGUUGACAGAGUUCGACCCGGUGGGGUCUGCGUUUCCAUUGUGGGUGUCCGAUUAAUGCGAAAAGUUAAGCAAUUCCGUCCAGGUGGUGGAAGAAAUGAGGUAUUUUUAAUCAUAAAUCUGUGCAAAAAGUUAGAAAUUUUGCUCUAUGGAAGUGCGAUUUGCAUCCGUGGGAAAUUCCACGUAGAAAUAGAUGUGUCACUUUUGAAAGUAAUGAUUUUGCACAAAUGAGAGGAUGUGAGAUACCUAGAUAAAUUGUGUUGGGGACAAUUGCGUAAUUUUUUAUUCUUGGUGACCGAGUACAAUUAAUCUGGAUUAAUGUCAUCAAUUAAUUAUUAUUGUAAUUUUCAAAUGUAUACAUAAGUAUUGCAAAAAAAAUAUUCGCAAAGUUGUAUAAUUUCAGAGAUUGUAACGAUUAUUGAUCAACUAUGUUAAUUUUUAUACUACGUUAAGAGAUUAUUAAAUCGUAUUUUUUUCACUCAUUCAUAGAAAAUAUGCUCCCAUAA
Molecule: long non-coding RNA, 549 nt
Organism: Folsomia candida
Lineage: Eukaryota; Metazoa; Arthropoda; Collembola; Entomobryomorpha; Isotomidae
Exons: 2
Source: RefSeq, a predicted model, not a curated record